UUGAUAGAGUAGAAGAAACGGGAGGAAAGAAACAGAGGGAAAACCCUAGCCCUCUUCUUCGUCCAUCCUUCUUUCUGAGUUUUGGAGACGUAUAAGUGGGAUUUUGUAGGAAGUCCGAUAACAAAAAUUGCUCUUCUCAUCAUUCUCUACGUGUCUACAUAUCAGAAAUUUCGAUUUGGAGUAAUUUGGUUCACCUAGUAAAGGAGCUCUUGAAGGUAGUGUUUUGCAAUCUUCUCAAGAGCUGGGUGGGCAAGGUAAGCGGCCAAACAGCUCUUUUCUGCCACUUAUGGAUACCUUCUAAAUGAAGGACAAAAAGACUACUGGUAUUAGGAAACGGCAUGUUCUAAAGGAGGAGGAUGGAGAAUUAGUAAAAAUGAAAGUCACUCAACAAUUGACAAGGCGGGGAAAGUCAUUCACACCGAAUGAAGAUGUAGCAAUUUGCAAUGCUUGGUUGAGUGUCACCCAAGAUCCAAUUGUUGGUAACUCGUAAUCACAAAGUAAUUUUUGGAGUCGGAUAUUCCAAAAUUAUCUUGAUCGCAACAUCAAUGAAAAUGUACGAACACAAGUUUCUAUCCAAUCUGGUUGGGGCAUAAUCAUGAAGUGUUGUGGUAAAUAUAGUGGGUGCCUCACACAAAUUGAAAAUAGGCAACAAAGUGGAAUCAAUGAAACAAAUAAGGUUUUUUAAGCAAAAAGUAUGUAUUAUGAACAUGAGAAGAAACAUUUUUCUUUGGAUCACUGUUGGGCGAUCUUGGAACAUUGCAUUAAGUGGGAAGAUUGGGCAUCCUCCAAAAAGCCAAAGUCUCUUGCAAUUACUCCAUGUUCCUCGACCUCAUCCCAUAUUCCUGAAACAUUCAUUUCACUCAAUUCCGAUCAAGUUCUAACUGGAAUUGCUAUUGACUCCCCAAGAACCAAAAGGUCUAGUGGAAGGAAAGUUGCAAAAGAAGCAUGUAGGAAAAGCAAGAUAGCAGAUACUUCAUAUACUCGUGUUUGUGAUUUGAUGGAAAAAUUUAAUAAAAAUGCAAGUGAGAGUAAAACGAAAAAGUUCGAAAUAGAAGAAAGAAAAGUUAGAGUAAUGGAGGAAAUGAAUCAAAGGGAGCAAGAAAAGAAAGAAGCCAAGGAAAAAGAAAGAUGAUAUGAUUAUGAUGAUAGACCUUUCCAGCAUGGAUCCUCGGAUGAGAUUCUUGCCAAAUUGCAAGCACGCUUCUGCAAACCUUGAUUAUUAUGUUUCUCUUCCUCAUUUCCAUGAUUAUCUACUUUUUUUUGUUAUGCUUAUGUAUUUAUUUUGAAUUGCCAUUAUGGAUUUUAUUGAAUUGUAGUAUUGAAAUGCCAAA
Molecule: long non-coding RNA, 1331 nt
Organism: Cornus florida
Lineage: Eukaryota; Viridiplantae; Streptophyta; Magnoliopsida; Cornales; Cornaceae
Exons: 5
Source: RefSeq, a predicted model, not a curated record